AUUGAACGCUGGCGGAGUGCUUUACACAUGCAAGUCGAACGGCAGCACGGACUUCGGUCUGGUGGCGAGUGGCGAACGGGUGAGUAAUGUAUCGGAACGUGCCCAGUCGUGGGGGAUAACGUAGUGAAAAUUACGUUAAUACCGCAUACGAUCUAUGGAUGAAAGCGGGGAAUCGCAAGACCUCGCGCGAUUGGAGCGGCCGAUAUCAGAUUAGGUAGUUGGUGGGGUAAAGGCCCACCAAGCCAACGAUCUGUAGCUGGUCUGAGAGGACGACCAGCCACACUGGAACUGAGACACGGUCCAGACUCCUACGGGAGGCAGCAGUGGGGAAUUUUGGACAAUGGGCGAAAGCCUGAUCCAGCCAUUCCGCGUGCAGGAUGAAGGCCCUCGGGUUGUAAACUGCUUUUGUACAGAACGAAAAGGUUUCUACUAAUACUAGGAGCUCAUGACGGUACUGUAAGAAUAAGCACCGGCUAACUACGUGCCAGCAGCCGCCGUAA
Molecule: ribosomal RNA, 500 nt
Filed under: uncultured bacterium
Lineage: Bacteria
Description: partial 16S ribosomal RNA
Rfam family: Bacterial small subunit ribosomal RNA
Source: RNAcentral